CAUGCAGUCGAGCGGUAACAGAUCCAGCUUGCUGGAUGCUGACGAGCGGCGGACGGGUGAGUAAUGCAUAGGAAUCUGCCCGAUAGUGGGGGAUAACCUGGGGAAACCCAGGCUAAUACCGCAUACGUCCUACGGGAGAAAGGGGGCUCCGGCUCCCGCUAUGGGAUGAGCCUAUGUCGGAUUAGCUAGUUGGUGAGGUAACGGCUCACCAAGGCCACGAUCCGUAGCUGGUCUGAGAGGAUGAUCAGCCACAUCGGGACUGAGACACGGCCCGAACUCCUACGGGAGGCAGCAGUGGGGAAUAUUGGACAAUGGGGGAAACCCUGAUCCAGCCAUGCCGCGUGUGUGAAGAAGGCCCUCGGGUUGUAAAGCACUUUCAGCGAGGAAGAACGCCUAGCGGUUAAUACCCGCUAGGAAAGACAUCACUCGCAGAAGAAGCACCGGCUAACUCCGUGCCAGCAGCCGCGGUAAUACGGAGGGUGCAAGCGUUAAUCGGAAUUACUGGGCGUAAAGCGCGCGUAGGUGGCUUGAUAAGCCGGUUGUGAAAGCCCCGGGCUCAACCUGGGAACGGCAUCCGGAACUGUCAAGCUAGAGUGCAGGAGAGGAAGGUAGAAUUCCCGGUGUAGCGGUGAAAUGCGUAGAGAUCGGGAGGAAUACCAGUGGCGAAGGCGGCCUUCUGGACUGACACUGACACUGAGGUGCGAAAGCGUGGGUAGC
This 717-nucleotide ribosomal RNA is filed under the name uncultured bacterium. RNAcentral describes it as "bacterial SSU rRNA". It matches the Rfam family "Bacterial small subunit ribosomal RNA", at positions 54 to 769 of the family's 1533-position model. The record is from RNAcentral.